Molecule: long non-coding RNA, 2238 nt
Filed under: Aplysia californica (California sea hare)
Lineage: Eukaryota; Metazoa; Mollusca; Gastropoda; Aplysiida; Aplysiidae
Description: uncharacterized LOC101864149
Source: RNAcentral
CUUGACCUGUGACCUCCAAUGUUUUCAGUUUUCACCCGAACAACAGUGACGAGCAAGGGUGAAACCAGAUCCUCUGGAGUGCAUUUCGUUAGACUGAUUGAAUUACCAGUUGAUUGCUGCAUCUGUGAAGUGUGCUUAGAAAUGAUCUUGACUCCUUCCACAAAAAUAGCCCUAGGGUGGAUAGGGAUCAUCGCCACAGGCCUGUCUGGAUUUGUCUUAGCCAGGGACUCUGUGAUCAGCAACAGAAAAGUUCUCAUGGAGACCAGGCAGAGAAUCAAAGACCAGGCCCAAAGAGAGUCGGUCGAGAAGUACGAACAGCGCAACCUACUGAAACAAGCCCAGCCUUCAUCAUAGUGAUGGUGAACUGUAUUUUGCAAGUGCAUUUUAAUUGAUAACGGCAUAAAGUGGAUAUUAUGCAGUGAAAAAUAUGUUGCACUAGUGAAGGAAAGACAGAAUCUUGAAUGUAUCUCUUUAGAAUGACAAUGACAGUUCAUCGCUUUUUGAUGUGUUAACUUUGCGUUCAGGAUGUGGCCGAGGUAAAACUUGUCUCUGCCACAAAUGACCUUCUAUCUGAAUGCACUGUGACUGUAACGUGGAGUAUGAAGUGCUGUCUGUAAACAUUAAGCAAGUUAGUUUGUGUAUUUAUGUGUUUGGAUGACACUCAAUACUGAGUGUGUGGGCAAAUUAAAUGAAUGCCUGAUGGUGGGCCUAUUUCUUCAUAGGUAAAAUACAUCAAUUUUCAAUCAUUUCAGUGUGUGUGUUUGACAUUGUAUAUAUUAUAGCUCAUCUAUUUUCUGUCAAGCAAAACUUUCUAUUUUCUUAUUUUAAAAAAGUAACACAGACAGACAGAAAACAACAGAAAGAAAGAAAAAAAACCAGGACCUACCAGUGGUGUUCCCCACCAACCACCUUCAAACUUUCAGAGACUCAGGAUCUACUGUUCUCUGACAUGUCAAGUACAUAGUAGUGUAUUCAGAGAUAAUAUAAGAAUGUGUUGUUGUUUUUUUUUUACCUACCUGCAAGAAGAUACAUAUAAAUGUUACUGUCCCCACGCAGGGUGAAUUCCCAUGUCUAGGGCUUUCCUGGCUAAAUGAAGAGCAGUCGAAUUGUCCAAGACAGCUACCCAUUGUCGAGGAAAAAGUGAUUUCCUAAAUUUUACUGUCCCCACACGGGGUGAAUUCCCAUGUCUAGGGCUUUCCUGGCUAAAUGAAGAGCAGUCGAAUUGUCCAAGACAGCUACCCAUUGUCGAGGAAAAAGUGAUUUCCUAAAUUUUACUGUCCCCACACGGGGUGAAUUCCCAUGUCUAGGGCUUUCCUGGCUAAAUGAAGAGCAGUUGAAUUGUCCAAGACAGCUACCCAUUGUCGAGGAAAAAGUGAUUUCCUUUUUAAGACAGGUGGACAGACAUCGGAGCCAUUGAAAUAGAAAAAAGGGGGAAAGUGGGAAGUUGUCAUUUGUACAGAUGAUUGUCUUGGUGGACAGGUGACCAUUUAUUUAGAGCAGGAUUUAAAAAAAAAAAGUUUUAGUAGAGGUUUUAUGGCGCUCGCAACUGAAUAAGGUCAUAUGAGCGCCAAAGAGCAGGUUUGACUGUAUGUUAAUUUGUACCCCGGUACGAAGCAAAGUCUUUUGUGGAAAUACAGCCUGUAGCAAUGUCUUUUCUUUUAUACAAGUUAAGUGUAAAGAGUACUCACAAGAGGGGUAUUAUGAUUAUUAUUAAUAAAGUGUACCAUACCUUAUUUUGUCACAGUUCCCUCUUUGAAACUGAUAUGAAUAGGUAGUGAAAGAAGGAGAGGUUAAAAUUUUGUUGUUGGGGAUGAGAGUGAGGGGGAAACGAAGAAAAAUGCACACCUUAAUAAUAUGUAAAUUUAUACUAUACUAUUAAGUCUUAAUUUUAUAUUAAUAUUAAUAUUAUAUCGCAACUAUUACAUCCUGUACUAAUGUUACAUUUGAGGGUUCCUGUUCUUUUCACAGAAAUUUCACAGGGCACAGCCUGAAUUAUUACCUCUUGAGAAGGUUUCCUUCAAUUUCAAAAUAAUUCCCAUACACCUUGAGUUUCCAAGUGAAAGAUUUAUUGCUAUGAAAAUUGUGUCUUACUAAACUUACUUAGACCUGGAGAUGUCCUACUAGUAGUUUCUGUUUCCUCAAGUUCCUUUUAUAAAUUGUAUGUUGUUCUGAUUUCAUUAUGAUGAGAUUGUCUUUGUAAUACGUUUUUAUCUGAAAUAAACAUUUUCUUUGUGCAGA